Molecule: ribosomal RNA, 633 nt
Filed under: Cystobasidiopsis lactophilus
Lineage: Eukaryota; Fungi; Basidiomycota; Agaricostilbomycetes; Agaricostilbales; Chionosphaeraceae
Description: LSU rRNA
Rfam family: Eukaryotic large subunit ribosomal RNA
Source: RNAcentral
UUAAGCAUAUCAAUAAGCGGAGGAAAAGAAACUAACAAGGAUUCCCCUAGUAACGGCGAGUGAAGUGGGAAAAGCUCAACUUUGUAAUCUGGCUCUUUCAGAGUCCGAGUUGUAGUCUCGAGAAGCAUCAUCCGCGCCGGACCUUGGAUAUGUCUGUUGGAAAACAGCGUCAUAGAGGGUGACAAUCCCGUUUGUGCCAAGGACGCCCGUGUGCAUUGCGGUGUGCUUUCUAAGAGUCGAGUUGUUUGGGAAUGCAGCUCAAAUUGGGUGGUAAAUUCCAUCUAAAGCUAAAUAUUGGCGAGAGACCGAUAGCGAACAAGUACCGUGAGGGAAAGAUGAAAAGCACUUUGGAAAGAGAAUGAAACAGUAUGUGAAAUUGCUGGAAGGGAAACGUUUGAAGUUAGACUUGCUUUUGUCACAUUCAGCCUUUUAGGUGUACUUGUGGCUUGUGCAGGCCAGCAUCGGUUUGCUUUGCGGUAUAAGGGUGCAUGGGAUGUAGCUGCCUCGGCAGUGUUAUAAACUUGCACUGGAUGCCGAAUCGCAGACCGAGGUUCGCAGCGCGCCUUUUUUGGCAAUGGGCUUGCCCAUCGAGCGCUUAGGAUGCUGGUAGAAUAGCUUUAACCGACCCGUCUG